This 440-nucleotide ribosomal RNA is filed under the name uncultured bacterium. RNAcentral describes it as "partial 16S ribosomal RNA". It matches the Rfam family "Bacterial small subunit ribosomal RNA", at positions 338 to 795 of the family's 1533-position model. The record is from RNAcentral.
CCUACGGGUGGCAGCAGUAGGGAAUAUUGCUCAAUGGGGGAAACCCUGAAGCAGCAACGCCGCGUGGAGGAUGAAGGUUUUAGGAUUGUAAACUCUUUUUGUUAGAGAAGAUUAUGACGGUAUCUAACGAAUAAGCACCGGCUAACUCCGUGCCAGCAGCCGCGGCACUAUGGAGGGUGCAAGCGUUACUCGGAAUCACUGGGCGUAAAGAGUGCGUAGGCGGGGUAAUAAGUCAGAUGUGAAAUCCUGUAGCUUAACUACAGAACUGCAUUUGAAACUGUUACUCUGGAGUGUGGGAGAGGUAGGUGGAAUUCUUGGUGUAGGGGUAAAAUGCGUAGAGAUCAAGAGGAAUACUCAUUGCGAAGGCGACCUGCUGGAACAUUACUGACGCUGAUGCACGAAAGCGUGGGGAGCAAACAGGAUUAGAUACCCUUGUAGUC